RNAcentral lists this transfer RNA (67 nucleotides) under Pupilla muscorum. RNAcentral describes it as "tRNA-Ser". Lineage: Eukaryota; Metazoa; Mollusca; Gastropoda; Stylommatophora; Pupillidae. The record is from RNAcentral.
UAAGAUAUAUUUUUAUAUAUAAAGGAUUUUGAAAAUCUUUUGAAGUAAGUUUUACUUACUAUCUAGU